This 497-nucleotide ribosomal RNA is filed under the name uncultured bacterium. RNAcentral's name for it is "partial 16S ribosomal RNA". It matches the Rfam family "Bacterial small subunit ribosomal RNA", at positions 28 to 507 of the family's 1533-position model. The record is from RNAcentral.
GAUGAACGCUGGCGGCGUGCCUAAUACAUGCAAGUCGAGCGAACGGACGAGAAGCUUGCUUCUCUGAUGUUAGCGGCGGACGGGUGAGUAACACGUGGAUAACCUACCUAUAAGACUGGGAUAACUUCGGGAAACCGGAGCUAAUACCGGAUAAUAUUUUGAACCGCAUGGUUCAAAAGUGAAAGACGGUCUUGCUGUCACUUAUAGAUGGAUCCGCGCUGCAUUAGCUAGUUGGUAAGGUAACGGCUUACCAAGGCAACGAUGCAUAGCCGACCUGAGAGGGUGAUCGGCCACACUGGAACUGAGACACGGUCCAGACUCCUACGGGAGGCCGCAGUAGGGAAUCUUCCGCAAUGGGCGAAAGCCUGACGGAGCAACGCCGCGUGAGUGAUGAAGGUCUUCGGAUCGUAAAACUCUGUUAUUAGGGAAGAACAUAUGUGUAAGUAACUGUGCACAUCUUGACGGUACCUAAUCAGAAAGCCACGGCUAACUCCGUG